Molecule: transfer RNA, 67 nt
Filed under: Stenopus hispidus (banded coral shrimp)
Lineage: Eukaryota; Metazoa; Arthropoda; Malacostraca; Decapoda; Stenopodidae
Description: tRNA-Lys
Source: RNAcentral
AGUUGGGUGACUGAAAUGAAAGUGUUAACCUUUUAAGUUUAUUAUAGUAGCCGCCUACUUCCAACAG